This 764-nucleotide long non-coding RNA is filed under the name Chrysolophus pictus (golden pheasant). Its description in RNAcentral is "lncRNA (ENSCPIG00010009012.1)". Lineage: Eukaryota; Metazoa; Chordata; Aves; Galliformes; Phasianidae. The record is from RNAcentral.
UGAUUUCAUCUUCAUGUAUGGUACAGAUGGUUGGUAAUUUCUACUUCCUUUUUCCAGAAUAGCAGAGCAGAAUUUAUGGUCGGGUCCCAGAAUCAAGUUAAACUUCAGAGAAUCUUGUUAAAAAUCUGAGGAAAAAGGUUCCUGAAAACGGGGAAGGUCUUCUGUCAGUUAUUUGCAUCCAUCGUUAACCAAGCUUAGGCUCCUGUGGAAGUGCACCAUGUGCAGCCAGGAUGAUUUGUGCUACUGUGUAAUGAGAGAAAUCCUGCAUCUUUGGCUAUUCAUGGCCCUGAAAUACAGCCUACUGCAGCUGAUAAGGUAUAAUGGGUUUCAGUGAGCUUCAGCACCUCUGAACUGAACACAGCAGAGACCAAACAUGACUGAAGUUUCCAAGUCCAACUGUAAGGAACCCUUCACAGGGAAGGCAGCCCAGGUGUCCAGACCCAGCAAGCACAGCACUUCCAUCAGCUUUCAGGGAGCACGACCAGUUGGAGGUCAUACAUGUUUGUCUGGGUAGGUGUGUAGACAGUAACAGGCAUUUGCUGGAUUGACAGCCGUAGUUGAAAUACCAUAGUGACACGGUCAGCUUCAUUUGUUUUCCGCCUUCUGAACACAUGGCUAUGAAUAAUAUGUAGUUUCAAGCUUUGGGGUUGUGCUUUUAGCUUGGUUUUUUGCUUGUUUGUUUGGAUUCUUUUAACGGAGGAAAACAACAUUUGUACAGUGUAGAUACAUUUUGAAAAACCACAAUAAAAUGAAAGAAAAUCACA